AUUCAAUCCGUCCCUCUUUCCUUUGUUAGCGCUAAUGAUGGUAUCAAUCAACCUAAUUAAUUCUCAUGGCAAACUCACGGUGCAUGCCUUGCAGGUCUGGUCCUCCGCACAAUUUCCUUCCCCAAAUUCUUUAGCCAGAUCUGAUUUCCUCGCCAACACAGUCUCCUACCAUGGGGCAUCUCCUUCAACCGCGACGCCUCUGACACCCACCUCCCCGGCCAUGCCUGAUGCCAGCCUCCGAUUCUCAGGCGCCCCUCCUCCUGCUGAUGGGAAGCACCCCACGGGAGGGAUGCACGGUCGUAUACCUGCCUGGCAGCCGGCCGCCAUGCUUGCAGUCGCUCCCACGGCCACGCCCGCCAUGGCGAGCAGCCGCGGGCAGGGAAAGUGACCAAGACGAUGAUACGCGGCGGAGCUCCGGGCAUGGCCGAUGGAGACGACCACGGCAGCGGGACGAUGGCACUGGGCAUGCCCGCUGGGUGAUGGCCGCGUCAUCGAUGCCUGUCCCCAACUCCCCAUCCCCGUCCCUAAGCUCUAUCUCCGCGCGCUAGGUCGUCGGCAACUAGAUUUAUUCGAGCUUUGACUAUUAAUCUGUAAUAGUGAUAGAUGUAUGAGCAACAUCAGCAGCAUCACGUGAGUUUGGGAAUGGCUGACAUGUGCGGCAUCAUGCUCGGGAACGAGGUAUCCCACGUUGGCCGUCGGUGAGAAGGUGAUCUUGCAGCGAAUUUUUGGUGGCCUCCAACCGUGAGGAUGAAGAGGACAUCCGCACACUUGAGCUCGGCCAGAGAACCUCAACAGAGGAGGUACGUUUCUAUCCAUUCUUCUUAAUUCCUCCCUUCUCGCUUGUAAACUUUGUCCACUCACAUCUCUAUUCUGCCUUUCUCAAAUCCACCCACCAUAGCAUCAUUCUCAAACACCUUCUUAUCUGCAAUUGCUUGGGAGAUGAGAUUUAAUUAUGAUAAGCUUCUGGCUCCCUAACCUUUUGAUCUGUGUACUUAGUUUUUCUUGCCCUCGGACCAAGUAAAUGAAUAUUUAAUUAACACAAACUUUUAUUAGUACAUGAGAAUAAAGUUUCAUUGCAAAUGGUUCAACUCCAACCAGGCAGCCAAUAGUUUGCCAUGUUCAUGUCUGGCUCUUUCCGUAAUAAUCGAGUCGUAGAUUUUGUAUUCCCACUGAUGCCAGCAAAAUGACCACAUAUCAUCCUCCUUUAAUGAUGUUGGAUUAUACAAAGCUUUGUAUGCAGCAGUCAUAUACGAAGUUUCACUUCGGUCUUGAUUGCAAUAUGAAAAUGGUCUAUUUUGCCUGAUGCAACACGAGUUCUUUCAUGUUCUACGUUUACAGGUCCUAUUUUUUAAAUCAUGUAGGUCCUGUUGUUAAGAAGCACCUCGCAACUUCUAUUACAUAAGUGAAAAGGUAGGUAAAAUAAUGUACAGAAAGCAGGUCCGUUGUUACUUGUUACAAACAUCUUAUAUUACAAGAUUUAGUGUGAGAAUGUAUCAUACAAGUUUCUAAAAUUGGCAUACAUGAUAGUGCUAGGCAUGGUUUUAAAGGCGUUGCCUAGGCGACGCUUAGACGUCAAGCCCCCCCCCCCCCCUCCUCCGCGUUGGAAAAUCCACCGCUUUAUGCACGUACGCAUUAGAUCACCCCCAAACCUCUGUAAGACGCCUUAACGCCUUUAAAACCAUGGUGGUAGGCAAUACAGAGCAAACUAGAUCAUGCAAAAAACAUUCUUAUUUGAUGACAUACAACGUGGUUUUAGGAAAUAGAUAUCUGUAUUUGUUUUUUGUUUGUGACCAGUCUAUCUUGGAUCCAGUUAAGCAAAAAUAUUUUAUAUCAACGUAACUAGCACUUGAUCAAAAAUGAGCAACUGAUAGCGCACUUCGUGUAAGCCCCCCCUCAUAAAUUGUAAGUAUAUGAUAUGGAAACCUUUGCUUACGUCUGUUUAUUUUACCAUCGAAUACUUUGAUAACCUAAAAUAUUGCCAUGUGUGUGAGAAUGUGAAAUAAAUAAAUAUGCUAACUACUGGACAAAACAUGCUAUAGGUGUUGUUUCUACUAUGAAAUAUCUUAUAAUUAUGCAGCAUCUUUCUGUUUGUUAAAUAUUUGUUCUGUAGCAUAUCAAGUUUUCAACACCAUGCUUCAAAAUCCAUAUUUCUUUGGACAUAUCUACAAGCAUUAGCCUAUCCCUUGAUCCAUCUGAAUAGCUUCGUUGAGAUGCAUUGAUCUUGUUGUUAAUACUUACUUCCCUUUGUUGUUUGUAAAAUUCCAGCUUUGUGUUGCACACACCACUUUCGAUAUGUAUGAUCAAGUUACAGAGUUCUGAAACAUUCAUAGCACAUAUCGAUAGCUAUAUUUUUUUGUGUUGCUGCAACCUCAAUGGAAUUUUUGUUUUGUUAAGCUGCAGAUGAAUGAAGAAUAAGGGAACAACAAACAGUUGAAGGAAAAGCUCAUAAUUCUGAGCUCACUAGAAUAAUGGAACACCAAAGUAGUGAAUAUUCCUUGAGUGAAAUCUAUAGAUAGAAUUUAGCUCUAUUGUUAUGUGUUGGUAGCUCUACGCUAUCCAUAUAAUUAUUUAAAGCCACAAUACUUGGUUAUCUAUUUAUAUCCAUGUUUUACAGAACCAUGUUAUAUAUUUAGCACAAUUCUCUUCAUUCCUGAAAGAGCCCAUCAAGUACAAACCAACUGUAUUAUAUUCUUGCUUCUUUGGUUGUUGUCAAUUUAUUACAUGGUUUUAUUUGCACAUUAGCUGGUUGCUACAUACCUGCUUCGGCUGAAAUUAUCAUUUUGUGCUUGUGAUAGAGCGGUUAGCGCUGCACUGAAUCGAAGAUGAUAUUUUAAAUAUCUAAUAUAAAUAUGUUUUCUAGGUUCUUCCUAUAAGAUUUCAUAAAUUUGUUUUCUACUUGACUUGGAACUUUAUUGUGAGAAUUAACAGCACUAUACACUUCUGUAACUUAUAAUCAGUUUUCAGCAAAUGGAUUUUGUUCCAGGAAACCAUCAGUCAAUUGCAUCUCAUUUUUUAGUGUUGGGCACACAUGUUUAUGGCUAGAGCUAACUUAUGCAUAACAACAUUAGUUAGACUAGGUGAUAUCAUUUUAGGAUCUAAUCGAUCAUCUUAGUGAUCCCAGGAUGUUUUAUAGAUGAAUCUGCAGUGUUUAUUCUUAUUAGAUUUCGUGGUUUGUAAUGUUACAUUUGCAGUAUGGUUUGUUGUUCACUCGUGUUUCCAUGACGAAGGCACAAAUGCAUCUAAUGGUUCGAAGUGAAUCCAUUAGAAUGUUAUCCUUAUUAGUGUUGUCGGACGCCCGUGAUAUGCUGUUGGUGUUGCCUCCAUUGUGAUGCUUGGGCAUCCCCACAAUUCGCUCUGUUUCUUUGGGGAUCCAAGAUGGAGCGAGGUCAUCGCUGAAUACCGCGAAUUCCGCUUUGUGAUGGUGCAUCUAGAGAGCUAUACCAGCCUGGCAAUGCGGUUGCCAGGUGAUCUGGUACUACCAGGAAAGCCUGCUACAUGCAAAAUUUCAUGGGAAGGUUCUCAUACACCCAGAGCUGCCUCUCCCUCGCAGAGGCAAGCCAAUCGCUGAUGUGCCUUUGACUAUCGAUGUCGUGCCAUGACCUGUGAAACCAGUCAAGACGGAUUCCCCAUUCGUGAAACAGACACUAUGCAUUCAUGAUUACCAGUUUCAUGGAAGAAGUCUCAUGUGCACAACUAGAGUAUGCUAGGUGCGCUGGUAAGGGACGCUCUUGCAUCAAGACCUGAAGAAAUUUGGUUCAGCGUGUGGUGCUUGAAGAUUGGAGAACAUCCUAAAUACUCUUCAGGCUGGGAUUUUAGUUGCUGCCAACUGGGCUCAGUUAGCAGCUUUUGAUGGAUUCAGAUCUGUGAACUGAUUCUUUGGUCUUAAAAGAAAGAAUGAUGGUGAUAUUGAUCGAUCAGGUGUCUGCAUAUCUAUGGCAGAACUAAUGGAUUUCCUGAGUCAAAACUUUGAUUUUUGUUCCUUUAGUUGGCAAAGAGAACUUCAAAUAACAGAGUAGCAAAUGUCGUGGCAAGGUUGGGCUGCUUGUUAAAUUUGUAUGAAGAUGUUCAUGUAGAUAAUGUAAUGCCUGGUCUAUUUGAGAUUAUGGUGAGCGAUAUGGCUCUAUCCAUUAGCAAUGCAGUAUAUGUGCAUUUUCCCUCACAAAAAUAGUACUUCCUCCGUCUAUACAUCAUACAUCUAAAUUUGUCCAAAUUUGAAACAUCUUUUUAUGAACGGAGGGAUUAUGCAUUUGUUUUUGAUUUUCUGAGAUGAAAAAAGUAUCCAUACUAUACCUUCUAGAGGCGUCGGGCCUUCUUACUAGAACAUCUUUUGGAUAUAUGGGACGUGCUUGAGGAUCUGAGGUUGCGGCCUGAUGCACCAGGACGACAGAAGGUGUGCAAGCUGGGCGAUCUGGUCCAUGCGACGUUGCAUGAGGGUUUGUCAGUGUUCUGUGUUGCUUGCGCAGACUUAUUUGUUUGCCCGCAGGAGACGAACACACUAGACUCCCGGAGCAUUCCAACGAUUACAAUAUGUUGUCAUUAUUUUCUUUUGCUGGUGUAUAAGAUAGUGCUGAGCAUACAUUUAUAGAGCCGAUGUGAAUUCUAUAUUCUUGUCGAUAUAUUUUCUACAAAGGAACCAAA
Lolium perenne is the source of this 4638-nucleotide long non-coding RNA. RefSeq lists it as uncharacterized. The record is from RefSeq and is a predicted model, not a curated record. NCBI's taxonomy places the organism in Eukaryota, Viridiplantae, Streptophyta, Magnoliopsida, Poales, Poaceae.